Molecule: long non-coding RNA, 595 nt
Filed under: Homo sapiens (human)
Lineage: Eukaryota; Metazoa; Chordata; Mammalia; Primates; Hominidae
Description: non-protein coding lnc-TSKS-2:1
Source: RNAcentral
CCCUCCACUGUCACCCCCGACUGCUGAAAUCCUCUUCUAGGAAGCCUUCCUCCCCUCCCCCCUUCUCUGCAGCCAACGUGUCGGGACUUGAGUUGUCAGGAGACCUAGAAUCUCAGAGUGAAAAACAGUAAUUCAAGGCUAGUCCCAUUAAGCAGAAGUUAAAACUUAGGUCGAGAGGGCGAAUGACUUGCCCAGGGCCACACAGCUUGGAAGUGAAAAAGCAGAAAUAAACGUAAACCGUAUCUUGGCUUACUUUUCAAUAUAUGUUGCCUUUUUUUUUUUGUCCAACCGCAGUGUCUCUCGGGCAGCCUCCAUUGUAGCAGAUAUCAAACCAAAAUUGAUUGUCUCCUCCAGACUGGGAACUCCUUCUGGGCAAGAAUGGGACCUGGCCUUGAACAGUUUCAACAACAUUUGUUAAAAGAAGAAAUAGGUGAAUCUGCUUUGGCCCAGCCCCAGCCUCCAUCCCCAACCCCCAGCUCCCCAGAGACUCUUUGGUAAACUGGCUUUGGGGAAGGCAAAACGGCCAGAACUCCCAACGCCCCAGGAGAUUGAGAAAUUUGGGACAAAGGGAACUGGAAGAGUCCAUUUCUGUCAC